RNAcentral lists this ribosomal RNA (85 nucleotides) under Marinilabiliales bacterium. The record is from RNAcentral. Lineage: Bacteria; Pseudomonadati; Bacteroidota; Bacteroidia; Marinilabiliales.
CUCUUCCCAUUCCGAACAGAGUAGUUAAGCCUGCCAGCGCCAAUGAUACUGCUAUACCAAGUGGGAAAGUAGGUCGUCGCCGAAC